UAGAAAACAAUUGCCUCUGAGCACGUGUAUGGAUUUCCUUGCAGGAGUCUGAGCUGGCAGUUAUUUUAAUUAGCAACACAUUUUAUAAGGGCAGAAUCAGAAAUGGAAACAUGUCAAAGCCUCUUUAGCUAUUGAGUUUGGCAGACUAACAUGCGUGUGCCUGGGUAUGGUAAUCAGCUCUUGACUCCCCUCCAUCUCUCCCAAGAGAGCCAUGUGAACAUACAGAGCCCCCUACUUGGAUAUGGGAGGACUUAUCAAUAUCACACACCAAAUGCUGAAGAUUCAGGAGUCCUCUUGAAGCCACUUCUGGGGAAAGUCUUCUCAAGAAGGAGUGCAACUCCCUACUCUUACUGAAGAUGGACAUUCCUGGAUUUGAGUCUUAAGGAAAUUCACAGGUAUAAAUACACAAAGAAAAUACAAAGGAGCUAAGAGCAAAAAAAUUUGGAAAAUGGAAAGCAACUGGGUUCGUAGUAAUAGACUCAGCAGAAUUAUAAAUAUGAGAACAAAGGAGAUCCUACAGUUUGCAGAGAAGAAGUACUUUUCCUUGGGAAGCUACUAGAGAAUGUGUUCCAUAAAAAGAGAAUAAACCAACGAGAAGAAGGCUGGAGUUCCAGGAAAUAGAGAAUCCAACAUAACAAUGAAGAUUCAUAACAUCAGAGGGAAUCUCCAGGGUGAUAGUGAGAGAUAUUGCAAAAAAACUGUGCAGAAGCCCUAAGAGAGAAAUUAGUUCAGGUUGGGUUCUCCUGAAGCAGAGGCUGAUAAGGAGUUCAGCAUGAGAAUAUUUAUUGGAAAUCAAUACUUCUCAGGAAUUGGGAAGAAGUGAGAGGGAAGAAGCAAAAUGGAACAGUAGGAGAAGCUGAAUUAUAAUGCAGAUACAAUAAAGCUUUGGCCAAUUCCUCAGUGACUCUAGAACAUUAUAGUCCAUUUGAGUUGCUCCACAGUGGGCUGAAGUGAUUGAAGUGACUUUUAUAGCUUCUCCAUUAUCAGUUUUUGGAUAUGGGCCACCUGGGGAAAGGCAUGCUCUUGGGCAGGACAGCUCUCUGCAGCUGAGACAAAAAAUGAUGAAGCUGACAGCUGGAGGCUGUCUGCUGACUUAUUCCCAGCAGCCAGAACAAAAGGUCCCUCCUUAAAGGGGUUUCUGGGCAACAUAUUUCCAUGGCCACCACCCUGCUCCAGGUUGGAGCAGAUUAAAAGAUUCCAGAAGAAAGUUCUUCAAAGAGAUGAAAUUGAUAGACUACCUAAUGUGUUUUGAAUUACACAACUGGGUGUUAAGGUUAAGGAUGAAUGAAUGAAUGAUGAGUACACAGAAACCUAAGGAAAGGAUAAAAACAAGAGUAAUUCCAAGUACAAGGAAAUACUGUGCAAGAAACUAAUCAUACAAUACUGCAUGCCCAGCUAUAAAUCAUCUUAAGUGGUCAUACAAUUACACGGAGAGAAUGAAGGAAUGAGAAAGGUAGAUAGCGAUAAAUCCUCAUCUACCAUAGUGUAGUAAUUAAAAUAGUAUUAUAACUUAAUGCAGUUUUGACACAUCAAGAAAUAGCAACAUAAGCUUGGCUUAAAUAUAUAGAGAAAAAUGCUGAAAGAGUCUAAAUGCUAAAAGAGUUAGAAGUGUUGCAAUUGCUGCCACCAAAAAGAGGAAUAUAGGAAUAGACAAAGAAGCGUUACUUUUCAUAGAAUUACAUACACAUAUAGCUUUGACCAAACAGAACCUAAGUUUAAAAAAAUAAAACAUAUUCUAUGACAUUCUGUGCUUCCCGAUGGCAAGUAUUAGGUAUUGGUUCUUACUACAUUUUUCCCAACCUAUUCAAAAAGGAUAGCCAAGCCAUUCUCUGGCCCACAGUUACCCUCCCUACCUGGCUCUUAUCUUCCAAAAGUGAGACCUUAAGAGCAUUUUGCUGGGGAAACAGAAGCAGCGAGUGCCUUCGAGUAAGAGGAAGGGAACACAAAGAGGAGAGAGGAUCCCUAAGACAAGGAAGGUAUUGGAAUCAGAGAGGUCCUAUGAGUAGUGUUCAGUCACUGGGGCUCCCAGGCUAAGCAAAAAUUCUGGAGUCAAGUUUGUGAGGGAGGGAAGUUUCAGAGCCACCUGAACUUAAGAUACUCUAUACAUUUGGAUGAUGAGAACAUCAAUAGUGUCCAUGAGAGCCUGAGGAAACAGACACCAACCCCAAUUCCCCAGCUCCACUUAGUAUUCUGAUAUUUUCUUGGCUCUCUGGAGACUACAAAUACACUAUGAAAGAACAGUGAUAUUAUUAUCAUAAUUACUGUUUAGAAUAAGAAACAAGAAGACUGAAUAGCUUUUAUUUGGUAACCCAUAAACCUGUUUUAGCAAAAAUGUUACCUGCCUAUAUAAUCUUCUGGACUAUCUUAUGACAGUGUAUUUUAAUAUACGGCUAACAAAUCUCAAAUUAUCAAAGUCUUACUUCAAUACUUAUUCAACAAGUGGAAUGACAGAAGAAAGGUUAUUGAUGGCUCUGAAAACAACCUGGAUAUUCAUCAAAUGUUCCAUGUUUCUAGACUUAGGGCUUUGUAUAUGCUUUUCUGGCUUCCUGGACCAGUCUUGUCUCCAGCCUCCACAGAAGUUGCUGCUUCUCAUUGAAGUUUAAAUGUCAGCAGCAGCCGUAGGCCUUUCAGGAUUAGGAUCACUCUAUCUCAAUAAGUCCUCUGUUACUCUCCAGCUGAGUUCCCCAACACUUUGGACAAACUCUAAUUAUUUUAUUUAUGAACUGAUCUGUUUUUUUCUUAGCUCUCUUCCCACUCAAAAGCCAUUUCCAUGCAACCAGGAGGCUUGC
Non-coding RNA from Sus scrofa (pig), 2789 nucleotides. The record is from RefSeq and is a predicted model, not a curated record. Lineage: Eukaryota; Metazoa; Chordata; Mammalia; Artiodactyla; Suidae.